UACGGAGGGCGCGAGCGUUAAUCGGAAUUACUGGGCGUAAAGCGCGCGUAGGCUGUUGUGUAAGUUGGGGGUGAAAUCCCACGGCUCAACCGUGGAACAGCCCCUGAUACUGCGCGACUUGAAUCCGGGAGAGGGUGGCGGAAUUCCAGGUGUAGGAGUGAAAUCCGUAGAUAUCUGGAGGAACAUCAGUGGCGAAGGCGGCCACCUGGACCGGUAUUGACGCUGAGGCGCGAAAGCGUGGGGAGCAAACAGG
This 253-nucleotide ribosomal RNA is filed under the name uncultured bacterium. RNAcentral describes it as "partial 16S ribosomal RNA". It matches the Rfam family "Bacterial small subunit ribosomal RNA", at positions 524 to 776 of the family's 1533-position model. The record is from RNAcentral.